Molecule: microRNA precursor, 103 nt
Filed under: Marmota monax (woodchuck)
Lineage: Eukaryota; Metazoa; Chordata; Mammalia; Rodentia; Sciuridae
Source: RNAcentral
AGUGUGAUAGCUGGGUCAUAUCGUGGUUCUAUUCCCAAUUUUUUGAGGAAUUUCCACACUGCUUUCCAUAGUGGUUGUACCAAUUUGCAGUCCCACCAGCAAU